RNAcentral lists this ribosomal RNA (407 nucleotides) under Causus rhombeatus. RNAcentral describes it as "partial 12S small subunit ribosomal RNA". Lineage: Eukaryota; Metazoa; Chordata; Lepidosauria; Squamata; Viperidae. The record is from RNAcentral.
ACCCAGYUAUAACCUACAAUUAAAGUACUAAUUGUCCGCCAAACAACUACGAGUUCUACUUAAAACUUAAAAGACUUGACGGUACUUCACCACAAUCUAGAGGAGCCUGUCUAAUAACCGAYAACCCACGAUUAACCCCACCCUAUCUUGCCCACAGUCUAUAUACCACCGUCACAAGCUUACCUUAUAAAAGAAACAAAGUGAGCCAAAUAGUACCACACUAGUAUGACAGGUCGAGGUGUAACUUAUGAUAGGGAUCAGAUGGGCUACAUUCUUCAAUAAAGAACACGAAUGAUACCAUGAACAUAGUACCUGAAGGAGGAUUUAGCAGUAAGCUAAGAAUAAAACACUUAACUGAACACAACGCAAUGAAGUGCGUACACACCGCCCGUCAUCCCUGUAUAACC